RNAcentral lists this ribosomal RNA (253 nucleotides) under uncultured bacterium. Its description in RNAcentral is "partial 16S ribosomal RNA". It matches the Rfam family "Bacterial small subunit ribosomal RNA", at positions 524 to 776 of the family's 1533-position model. The record is from RNAcentral.
UACAGAGGUCCCAAGCGUUGUUCGGAUUCAUUGGGCGUAAAGGGUGCGUAGGCGGCAAAUCAAGUUAGAUGCGAAAUCCCGGGGCUUAACUCCGGAACUGCAUUUAAUACUGCUUUGCUAGAGUACUAGAGAAGGGGCUGGAAUUUACGGUGUAGCAGUGAAAUGCGUAGAUAUCGUAAAGAACGUCAGUGGCGAAAGCGAGCCUCUAGAUAGUUACUGACGCUGAGGCACGAAAGCCAGGGGAGCAAACGGG